GAAAUAAAAUGCUUUAAAUAAAAACUUCUAAUUUUUAAUUUUAAUGGUUAAAUUCCAUUUUUAUUUCU
Molecule: transfer RNA, 68 nt
Filed under: Dilophus febrilis
Lineage: Eukaryota; Metazoa; Arthropoda; Insecta; Diptera; Bibionidae
Description: tRNA-Ser
Source: RNAcentral